UACGGAGGGUGCAAGCGUUGUCCGGAAUCACUGGGCGUAAAGGGCGCGUAGGCGGCUCAUGAAGGCUGUGGUGAAAGUCCGGGGCUCAACCUCGGAUCGGCCGUGGCGACUCGUGGGCUGGAGCACUGUAGAGGCGGGUGGAAUUCCGGGUGUAGCGGUGGAAUGCGUAGAGAUCCGGAAGAACACCAGUGGCGAAGGCGGCCCGCUGGGCGGUGGCUGACGCUGAGGCGCGACAGCGUGGGGAGCAAACAGG
This 253-nucleotide ribosomal RNA is filed under the name uncultured bacterium. RNAcentral describes it as "partial 16S ribosomal RNA". It matches the Rfam family "Bacterial small subunit ribosomal RNA", at positions 524 to 776 of the family's 1533-position model. The record is from RNAcentral.